UACAGAGACUGCAAGCGUUAUUCGGAUUCACUGGGCGUAAAGGGUGCGCAGGCGGCCAAGUGUGUCAGGUGUGAAAUCCCGGGGCUUAACUCCGGAACUGCGCCUGAAACUACUUGGCUAGAGCAUUGGAGAGGGAAGUGGAAUUCACGGUGUAGCAGUGAAAUGCGUAGAUAUCGUGAGGAACACCAGAGGCGAAGGCGACUUCCUGGACAAUUGCUGACGCUCAGGCACGAAAGCGUGGGGAGCCAAAGGG
Molecule: ribosomal RNA, 253 nt
Filed under: uncultured bacterium
Lineage: Bacteria
Also listed under: 2 other names
Description: partial 16S ribosomal RNA
Rfam family: Bacterial small subunit ribosomal RNA
Source: RNAcentral